This is a long non-coding RNA of Pleuronectes platessa (European plaice), 780 nucleotides long. RefSeq lists it as uncharacterized. Lineage: Eukaryota; Metazoa; Chordata; Actinopteri; Pleuronectiformes; Pleuronectidae. The transcript is spliced from 3 exons. The record is from RefSeq and is a predicted model, not a curated record.
GAGAGCCGUGGUUCAAAAACCUCCAUAAACGAUGCAGCAGAUAACAGCAAGAAAAACCACAACACAGCUUCAAAGCUGAGAGAAACAAAGCAAAUCAGACUCCAGAAAACACACAAUGAAUACAUGUUCUUUAUAUUUGCUUGUAUUUUUUUCAUAAUAAAGUUUACAAUUUUUUCAGACGGUGAAUGAGGAAGAGAGUCAACCAACAGAUGGAGGCACAGCACAUGUAUUACAGCUGCUGUCAUGAGGAUGUGGUGAUGAAUUUACAGACACACACACACAAACAGACACACAGCCGUAUUCUUCUCAGAGAAGCCUUUUCCUCACAUCAUUUCUUCGCGAUGCCUUCACCUGCGCAAACAUUUGGUUUGCUCUUCAUCGGUUUUUAUUGUCAGGUGAGCGCUGUUACUUUUCAACAGUCUCCUCCACAGAUAGUGAAGGAGAACACUGUGGUCCAGAUCGACUGCAGUCACAAUGAUAAUAACCUUCAAGUUAUGCUCUGGUAUCAGCAGACACAGGACCGUCUGUCUUUGAACCUCAUUGGGUACGGAUAUGCAAUCGGCUCACAAAGCUAUGAGACUCAGUUCAAAGAACAAUUCAAGCUGAGCAAAGAAAGCACCACAACAGGAUCGCUCGUUAUUAACACGGCAAACCUGUCACACACUGCUGUUUAUUUCUGCGCUGCCAGUACACAGUGAUGUGGUUCAAUGAGACUCCCUGACUAAAAACCCUGAUGGUUUUACUGGGCAUGAGAUUUGUGCAUCUGCAUGAUAAGCCACU